GACAGGGUAGCUUAAUGGCAAAGCAACAGUCUGCAAAACUGUUUUAUUGUGAGUUCGAGUCUCACCCUUGUCU
RNAcentral lists this transfer RNA (73 nucleotides) under Aquimarina hainanensis. RNAcentral's name for it is "tRNA-Cys". It matches the Rfam family "tRNA". From Rfam's summary of the family: Transfer RNA (tRNA) molecules are approximately 80 nucleotides in length. Their secondary structure includes four short double-helical elements and three loops (D, anti-codon, and T loops). Further hydrogen bonds mediate the characteristic L-shaped molecular structure. tRNAs have two regions of fundamental functional importance: the anti-codon, which is responsible for specific mRNA codon recognition, and the 3' end, to which the tRNAs corresponding amino acid is attached (by aminoacyl-tRNA synthetases). tRNAs cope with the degeneracy of the genetic code in two manners: having more than one tRNA (with a specific anti-codon) for a particular amino acid; and 'wobble' base-pairing, i.e. permitting non-standard base-pairing at the 3rd anti-codon position. RNAcentral also lists the same sequence under 1 other name. Lineage: Bacteria; Pseudomonadati; Bacteroidota; Flavobacteriia; Flavobacteriales; Flavobacteriaceae. The record is from RNAcentral.